UGGAGGCAGCAGUGGGGAAUUUUCCGCAAUGGGCGAAAGCCUGACGGAGCAAUACCGCGUGAGGGAGGACGGCUUUUGGGUUGUAAACCUCUUUUAUCAGGGAAGAAGAUCUGACGGUACCUGAUGAAUCAGCAUCGGCUAACUCCGUGCCAGCAGCCGCGGUAAUACGGAGGAUGCAAGCGUUAUCCGGAAUUAUUGGGCGUAAAGCGUCCGUAGGUGGCUAAUCAAGUCUGCUGUCAAAGCGUGGAGCUUAACUCCAUAUCGGCGGUGGAAACUGAUGAGCUAGAGUGCGAUAGGGGCAGCAGGAAUUCCCAGUGUAGCGGUGAAAUGCGUAGAGAUUGGGAAGAACACCAGCGGCGAAAGCGUGCUACUGGGUCUGCACUGACACUGAGGGACGAAAGCUAGGGGAGCGAAAGGGAUUAGAUACCCCUGUAGUCCG
RNAcentral lists this ribosomal RNA (439 nucleotides) under uncultured bacterium. RNAcentral's name for it is "bacterial SSU rRNA". It matches the Rfam family "Bacterial small subunit ribosomal RNA", at positions 343 to 797 of the family's 1533-position model. The record is from RNAcentral.